RNAcentral lists this ribosomal RNA (253 nucleotides) under uncultured bacterium. RNAcentral describes it as "partial 16S ribosomal RNA". It matches the Rfam family "Bacterial small subunit ribosomal RNA", at positions 524 to 776 of the family's 1533-position model. The record is from RNAcentral.
AACGUAGGUGGCGAGCGUUAUCCGGAAUCACUGGGCGUAAAGCGUGUGCAGGCGGGCUAGCAAGUGGUGUUUGAAAGCUCCCGGCUCAACCGGGAAGGGUUAUGCCAGACUGCUAGUCUUGAGUGCGAGAGAGGAGCGUGGAAUUCCGGGUGUAGUGGUGAAAUGCGUAGAGAUCCGGAGGAACCCCAGAGGCGAAGGCGGCGCUCUGGCUCGCAACUGACGCUCAGACACGACAGCAUGGGGAGCGAACGGG